ACGAAGGGGGCUAGCGUUGCUCGGAAUCACUGGGCGUAAAGCGCACGUAGGCGGCUUUCUAAGUCAGGGGUGAAAUCCUGGAGCUCAACUCCAGAACUGCCUUUGAUACUGGAGAGCUUGAGUCCGGAAGAGGUGAGUGGAACUCCGAGUGUAGAGGUGAAAUGCGCAGAUAUCAGGAGGAACACCAAUGGCGAAGGCAGCACUCUGGGACUUGACUGACGCUGAGACGCGAAAGCGUGGGGAGCAAACAGGA
RNAcentral lists this ribosomal RNA (253 nucleotides) under uncultured prokaryote. RNAcentral's name for it is "partial 16S ribosomal RNA". It matches the Rfam family "Bacterial small subunit ribosomal RNA", at positions 525 to 777 of the family's 1533-position model. The record is from RNAcentral.